This 450-nucleotide ribosomal RNA is filed under the name uncultured bacterium. RNAcentral's name for it is "bacterial SSU rRNA". It matches the Rfam family "Bacterial small subunit ribosomal RNA", at positions 29 to 523 of the family's 1533-position model. The record is from RNAcentral.
AACGAACGCUGGCGGCAGGCCUAACACAUGCAAGUCGAACGCGUGUAGCAAUACACGAGUGGCGCACGGGUGAGUAACACGUGGGAAUCAACCCAGAGGUUCGGAAUAACCGCGGGAAACUGCGGCUAAUACCGGAUAUCCCCUACGGGGAAAGAUUUAUCGCCUUUGGACGAGCCCGCGUCCGAUUAGCUAGUUGGUGAGGUAACGGCUCACCAAGGCUACGAUCGGUAGCUGGUCUGAGAGGAUGACCAGCCACACUGGAACUGAGAUACGGUCCAGACUCCUACGGGAGGCAGCAGUGGGGAAUAUUGGGCAAUGGAGGCAACUCUGACCCAGCCAUGCCGCGUGGGUGACGAAGGUCUUCGGAUUGUAAAGCCCUUUCGGCGGAGACGAUGAUGACGGUAUCCGCAGAAGAAGCCCCGGCUAACUUCGUGCCAGCAGCCGCGGUAA